This 771-nucleotide ribosomal RNA is filed under the name uncultured bacterium. RNAcentral's name for it is "bacterial SSU rRNA". It matches the Rfam family "Bacterial small subunit ribosomal RNA", at positions 8 to 796 of the family's 1533-position model. The record is from RNAcentral.
AGAGUUUGAUCAUGGCUCAGGACGAACGCUGGCGGCGUGCUUAACACAUGCAAGUCGAACGGAAAGGCCCUUCGGGGUACUCGAGUGGCGAACGGGUGAGUAACACGUGGGUGAUCUGCCCUGCACUUUGGGAUAAGCCUGGGAAACUGGGUCUAAUACCGAAUAUGACCAUGCGCCUCCUGGUGUGUGGUGGAAAGCUUUUGCGGUGUGGGAUGGGCCCGCGGCCUAUCAGCUUGUUGGUGGGGUAAUGGCCUACCAAGGCGACGACGGGUAGCCGGCCUGAGAGGGUGACCGGCCACACUGGGACUGAGAUACGGCCCAGACUCCUACGGGAGGCAGCAGUGGGGAAUAUUGCACAAUGGGCGCAAGCCUGAUGCAGCGACGCCGCGUGAGGGAUGACGGCCUUCGGGUUGUAAACCUCUUUCAGCACAGACGAAGCGCAAGUGACGGUAUGUGCAGAAGAAGGACCGGCCAACUACGUGCCAGCAGCCGCGGUAAUACGUAGGGUCCGAGCGUUGUCCGGAAUUACUGGGCGUAAAGAGCUCGUAGGUGGUUUGUCGCGUUGUUCGUGAAAACUCACAGCUUAACUGUGGGCGUGCGGGCGAUACGGGCAGACUUGAGUACUGCAGGGGAGACUGGAAUUCCUGGUGUAGCGGUGGAAUGCGCAGAUAUCAGGAGGAACACCGGUGGCGAAGGCGGGUCUCUGGGCAGUAACUGACGCUGAGGAGCGAAAGCGUGGGGAGCGAACAGGAUUAGAUACCCUGGUAGUCC